GACGAACGCUGGCGGCGUGCUUAACACAUGCAAGUCGAACGGAAAGGCCCUGCUUUUGUGGGGUGCUCGAGUGGCGAACGGGUGAGUAACACGUGAGUAACCUGCCCUUGACUUUGGGAUAACUUCAGGAAACUGGGGCUAAUACCGGAUAGGAGCUCCUGCUGCAUGGUGGGGGUUGGAAAGUUUCGGCGGUUGGGGAUGGACUCGCGGCUUAUCAGCUUGUUGGUGGGGUAGUGGCUUACCAAGGCUUUGACGGGUAGCCGGCCUGAGAGGGUGACCGGCCACAUUGGGACUGAGAUACGGCCCAGACUCCUACGGGAGGCAGCAGUGGGGAAUAUUGCAUAAUGGGCGGAAGCCUGAUGCAGCAACGCCGCGUGCGGGAUGACGGCCUUCGGGUUGUAAACCGCUUUCGCCUGUGACGAAGCGUGAGUGACGGUAAUGGGUAAAGAAGCACCGGCUAACUGCGUG
Molecule: ribosomal RNA, 468 nt
Filed under: uncultured bacterium
Lineage: Bacteria
Description: partial 16S ribosomal RNA
Rfam family: Bacterial small subunit ribosomal RNA
Source: RNAcentral